Molecule: non-coding RNA, 102 nt
Filed under: Halalkalibacter hemicellulosilyticus
Lineage: Bacteria; Bacillati; Bacillota; Bacilli; Caryophanales; Bacillaceae
Also listed under: 1 other name
Description: Bacillus hemicellulosilyticus Guanine sequence
Rfam family: Purine riboswitch aptamer
About the family: Riboswitches are metabolite binding domains within certain messenger RNAs that serve as precision sensors for their corresponding targets. Allosteric rearrangement of mRNA structure is mediated by ligand binding, and this results in modulation of gene expression.
Source: RNAcentral
AAUUUUAUAUAAGAGUCUUAUCGUAUAAAUGCAGGAAUAGGGCCUGCGCGUCUCUACCAAACUACCGUAAAUAGUUUGACUACGAUAAUCAUCUAAUUUUAU